AUACGGAGGAUGCGAGCGUUAUCCGGAUUUAUUGGGUUUUAAGGGAGCGUAGGUGGGAUAUUAAGUCAGCUGUGAAAGUUUGGGGCUCAACCUUAAAAUUGCAGUUGAUACUGGUUUCCUUGAGUACGGUACAGGUGGGCGGAAUUCGUGGUGUAGCGGUGAAAUGCUUAGAUAUCACGAAGAACUCCGAUCGCGAAGGCAGCUCACCGGGCCGGAACUGACACUGAUGCUCGAAAGUGCGGGUAUCAAACAGGAUUAGAUACCCUGGUAGUCCGCACAGUAAACGAUGAAUACUCGCUGUUUGCGAUACACUGUAAGCGGCCAAGCGAAAGCGUUAAGUAUUCCACCUGGGGAGUACGCCGGCAACGGUGAAACUCAAAUGAAUUGGCGGGG
This 393-nucleotide ribosomal RNA is filed under the name uncultured bacterium. RNAcentral describes it as "partial 16S ribosomal RNA". It matches the Rfam family "Bacterial small subunit ribosomal RNA", at positions 523 to 918 of the family's 1533-position model. The record is from RNAcentral.